UAUUUAACGGCAAGGGAAAAUCGUACGAUAUUUAAUGUAACCAUUACGACAAUUAACAGUGUAGAAGAUUUUGCGACAUUUAGCGACGGUUACGAUAAUUAGAAGGAAUUACAACAUUUAGCGGCGUUGAAACAAAUAACGGUGUUUCAUUCUGUCUAAAAGUUUGCCAAACUGCAGUUUUUAGGUGAAUGUGAUUUAUUUCUCUCUAUUUUAGUAUAUAAAUUAAAUACAUCAUAUUCACAAAAUAAAAAGUCCAUAUUUGUUUAAAUGCACUCGACCUUGAUGAUUGUUUCGUAAAAUAAAUUAGGACGAAUGUUUAACAUGCAAUACUUCAAAUGAGCGUUAACAGAACAACACUACCGACAACUGUCAAAAAUGCGGAAGUUUCGAGGAUAAUGUGUACGUCAUUCCAGAUGUAAUUCAUUAAAAUAAUUCAACAAUAAAGGAUUACCAUAAAAUUGUUUUCAUUUGCUCAGGUUGUUUUUGUUUGCGUCUUAUUUAUUUGGUACCUGGGAGCGAAUUCUGCGAAAUGUUAAAAAAAACAUCCGGUAUAAUGCAUUAUAAAUAGACUACUUAUCUUGACAAUUUAGUACACAGUACAGAAACCUGGCUGUUUAAAAGAUGAAGCUUGGCGUGGAAAGUUUUGUUGUUUGGUUUUUCAUUAACAUUGCUAUUAUAAGUGUGCACGGUGCGGCACAUUCCUCCACGAGAUGUAUACACGCAUGUGGAAACACAUUUUCAACUAACUUGCGACGGACGUGUCGCGAAUGCUCUGCCGACCCACCCAUUGACUACGACAUGUGCAGUAACGCGUGCGGCAAUACAUUUUCAAGCUACCUCAGGCAGAUAUGUGAUAAGUGUGUAACACGCGUACCUUUGACUGACAGAAUGUGUAUAAAAGCUUGUGGCAACACGUUUUCUAGUCAAUAUCGACGAAUAUGCAACCGAUGUGUUCGGACUCCACCAAUUACGGACACCAUGUGUAUAAAUGCGUGUGGGAACACAUUUUCAUCAAACCUAAGAUCAGUAUGUCGGAAAUGUGUUUCAAGACCUCCAAUUACUGAUGCAAUGUGCAUACAUGCAUGUGGCAAUACAUUUUCCUCGAACUUUAGAAGGAUAUGCAAUGCUUGUAGUUAAACAGUUAUUUCUUGAAUGGUAAUUAUUUUACUUUCUUAAAAACAUAUAGUACAUAUUUCUCAAGAGUGAUUUUCUUGAAAUAGUUUGUAUCAUCUGGAAGCAUGUACCUUUAACAUAUUUAUUCAGUUUUUAGUAUGCGUUAACAAUACAAAUAAUGGCAUAUUAAACAAAGUUAUCCUAUUAUUUAGCAUAAAGAUAUUUAAAUAAAUUUUUCGUAUUGAAAUGAAGUCUUGAGUUUAAUCAAUGUUAUUGUAUUUUAACCAUUUGUAUAUUUAUCAUAAGUUAUGUAUUAUAUACAAAGCAGAAAAAGGCAAAAAAAAAACGAACUGUUAUUUACCUGCCUUCAAAGUCUUAUUUCUUAUUUUUAUGCCUAAUAUGCCUUUCUUACAUUAUUCAUAAGAAAUAUUUUAUAACAAGAAUUCACUUCUAUAAACAUUUUAUAAACAAUCUUUGCGACAAAAAUACAUGAGAGAAUUAUAAACUUUAGAGAAUUAGUGAAGUUAUUUCUCGUCAGUUGCUUAAAUUAACCUUUUAACAAACCAUCCACUUUACAUUAAACUUAAAGGCACAUUAUUCGCCAGAAACGAAUAGUUUUUUUUUUCAUUUUUAGAAAGGGCAAACAUAAAUAUUAUAACAUUUAGAUCAUGGUUUUUAGAUCAUGUUUAAUGUUUUUACAGAAAGAACGUGUGUGAAAUAUUUUUUCAUAAAAGUAGCAAAAUGUUACAAAAAGUUACUUUGACUUUAAUACAAAAUAAUUCAUUACUAUAACUGCACUAAUUGUCAAAGGGCAACUGAGGAAAAAGAUGGUUCAGGUGAAUGACAGAAGAGUAUCAUUUUUUGAUAAAGCAGGAAAUAAGAAAAUAAAAAAAAAGCUUUUAAGAAAUAAAAAUUAAAGCAUUUAAUGGGCAUCAUGAUGGGACUUUAAAGAAAAACAAGUUCAGUCAUUGUGGGAUGAAUUGUCAUUGAAAAUGAACAAAAGAAAACCCAAACAAACAACAUCAGUGACAACAAACAAACAAACAACCACAACAUCAUAAAUUUAUCUGAGUCAUAUUCUAUAAAUAAAACACACCUGAGAACUUUAAAUUCUCAUAGAAAGAUAAAAUCUGAGAGGAAAUAUAUCUGAGUUUCCAAACUUUUCAUAUCAUUAAAAUAUCUGUAAAGAAAGAGAAAAAGUAAAAAAAAUAAUACGCUGAGGUUUGUUUCUAAAAAGCUUUAAUAAUUUAAGUAUUAUAAUUUGACGACCACAAUUUAUGCCAGAUAAAAAACAUUUGUGGGUGUUUUUCAUUCAGCAACCCCGGGUGUCGUGUUUUUUACCUUCGAAUUUGUACUAUAUUCCUCGGGAAAUACACUAUGAAAAAUGACUAUACUCAAAUGCUUUCAGCAACAAUAAUUCAGGUUCUUUUUCAUGUUUUAAUAAACCGUGAGAAGCUUGUACAAAUACGGGUACUCUGCACCUUCUCUCGUUAAAUUCAGUGUAGUAACAUCAAAAAAAUAUUGAAAAUAAAAAACUUGAAUUGGGCAAAAAUGUGCGUGUUCCUUAUUCUUAAGGUCUCGUGGUAUCGCUACACGUUAAACUUGAAGAGUCUGGUGUCAUUAAAAAAUUUAAAGUACUAUAAACACACAUUUUGACGUUUCUUAAAAGUGCUUUUGAUUUUUUAGUUUUCUGUUUUAAUUUCGAAAAAGUGACUGAUCGGUCAUUUACCUGAACAAUCUUGCGGCUGUUAAUAUUUGGCAUAGUAAUUAAGUAUUUUGUAUAAAAGUCAAAUAGAAUCUACUAAUUCGUUUAAAUUUUGCUUCUUUUAUUACAAAUAAUUUCACAUUCACCCCUACUUUUUUCAAGUGAGAAGCAGCUGUCAUGCUCUUAAAUCGUUAUUUUAACGUUAAAAGUGUUUGGAAUUAUUUUUUGUGCAAUAGAAUUACAGUAUUUCAAAUGAAUCGUAACACAUUACAUGUAUUUUGAUAAAUCGGCAAACUGUUAUGCAGGCGUCACACUGUCCCGAAUUGGGCAUCAGGUGGACACACGAAUAAGAAAAUGUUCAAAUUCGGAUCUAAUCGUAAUAACAUCGUGCCAUUCGUGAGGGCAUCUUUUGCCAUCGUAUAAUAACGGAAUGCCGUUUGGGCCAUUGCCUAUGAAUGUGUUGAUCUGAAACGCGAUAGUCGAUAGUACGAUGGUGAAAACGCGAAAUCACGAAACUACGAUGGUGAAAACGCGAAAGUACGAUGAUGAAAACGCGAAAGUACGAUGAUGAAAACGCGACAGUACGAUACUACGAUGAUGAAAACGCGAUAAACUAUCGUGUUUUCACCAUCGUACUGUCGCGUUUUCACCAUCGUAGUUUCGUGAUUUCGAGUUUUCAUCAUCGUACUGUCGUGUUUUCAUCAUCGUACUAUCGCGUUUUCACCAUCGUCCUAUCGCGUUUUCAUCAUCGUACUGUCGUGUUUUCAUCAUCGUACUAUCGCGUUUUCACCAUCGUACUGUCGUGUUUUCAUCAUCGUACUAUCGCGUUUUCAUCAUCGUACUAUCGCGUUUUCAUCAUCGUACUAUCGUGUUUUCACCAUCGUAGUUUCGUGAUUUCGUGUUUUCACCAUCGUACUAUCGACUAUCGCGCUUCAGAUUAACACAUUCAUAGGCGAUGGCCCUUACGUGUUGAAUAUAACAUGUACAGGACAUUUAGACACGGUUACGUAAUAGUAUUUAAGAAAUGUUUUUAUAUUGUUUUAUUUUGAAAUGGUAUUUGUAUUUUAGGUAGCUAGAUUGCGAGAUAUGCAUGUCUUGUUAGCAGUGAUUUCAGUGGUGUUUGGUGGCUUUUCUUUGGUCAUGUAUCCUAUAGGUUUAGAGUUAGCCGUGGAGGUGACAUUUCCUGUAGCCGCGGCAACAAGUUCGGGACUUUGCAUUAUAAGUGGAGCAACUCAGGGUAUAGCAGUUAUGUUUGCCAUGCAGUUUUUGGCACGUCCGUUGCCGAAUUGGGAGCGUAAACUGCAAUCUUGGUGUUUGCAGGAUGGCGCAUUUAUACCACAGGAUUUUACAUAUUCAUUUCUGUGGAUGGCAUGUUGUUAAACUACGGCAACAUUUGUGAUACUUGUGCUAUUUUUCCGACCAAAAUAUAAACGAUUAAUAGAAGAGAAAAAAGCUUUGUCGAACUCUAAAACCAAAGUUUCUGUGAUAAAUAAAGAAGACUCGUCUAACAAUAGCACUGAGGUUACAAAAAUCUGACACCCAACUAACCUUUAGUUAAUCUUAAUUUUGUUUAAGCGUUUUGUUGAACGUGACCGUUAUCUGUACCAUAGUUUACAAUGUCAAUGUUUUGUUGACUGCGGCACUUAUAUUUAUCCUAGUUUAACACUAUAUGGUAAUUGUUUCGUUGUCUGUGGUUGUUAUUAUAACCUUUGUUUUACACCGUGUUGUCAGUGUUUUGUUAUCCGUGACCGUUACCUUAGGUUUACAUUGUCGUCAGGGAUUUGUUUUUUGCGACUAUUUUGAAUAGGUCGUAGUCAUUUCUUGGCAGGUAGUUCAACUGGCUGUUUUCUGUUGUUUUUAUAGCUUUGAAUAUUUCGUGAUAACUUUAUAAGUUUAAGUGUUUUUUUUUGUGCCAGUCAUUUUUUCCACUAGAGUGAUAUUGACUUCAUUAUUUAUACCACGGUGUUCUAUACAAGUCAUAUCUAAAGAAUCACAAAUGGCUGUUGUACUCGAAGAUUUCCAAUGUGCGCGAUGUUUAAUGACCAACGAUAACAAGUGUAACUUGAAUUUAACUGAUAACUCCGUUCUCUAGAAUACAAGAUCUGACAUAAGCCCGAGUGUAUGGUCAAGGUUAAUUUAUCAUUACCAGUUCAAAGCAAAAUGUCCUUGUACCAUACAACAAGAAAUUACUAGUACCCAACUUAACCACGUGAUUUUAACUGAAAGGAUAUUCCUGUUUUAUUCAUUUAUACCCUCACAUCAAUUAUGAAAUUUAUUAUUGCACUGUUUUUGUUUUAAUCAAGCUAAUGAUAUUACAUCGUUUUAGAGUAAUUGUGCCAUUAUGUUAUUGUAAUUAUAUAUCCAUAUUUUUAUGAUAUUUAAAAAAAAUAUAUUGUAAAUG
This is a long non-coding RNA of Ruditapes philippinarum (Manila clam), 5219 nucleotides long. RefSeq lists it as uncharacterized. The record is from RefSeq and is a predicted model, not a curated record. The transcript is spliced from 4 exons. Lineage: Eukaryota; Metazoa; Mollusca; Bivalvia; Venerida; Veneridae.